This 1160-nucleotide long non-coding RNA is filed under the name Theobroma cacao (cacao). Its description in RNAcentral is "long non-coding RNA (TCAC_LNC002057)". The record is from RNAcentral. Lineage: Eukaryota; Viridiplantae; Streptophyta; Magnoliopsida; Malvales; Malvaceae.
AGCUCUUGGGCGAAGAGUCAUACUUCGCCACAGAUCAUAUGCGAGAGUUCCCAGGAAUAGGGUUAUCUUUCCCUUUGCUCUGAUACCAAGUUUGUCACUAGGGGUGGGAGAUCACGGAGCAUCCCCCCCUUCGCUACGGAGGCAACGACGGCUUAUGUGCACUCCCACUCACACAUAGCCGGGUCAGUAACGGCUUAUGUGCACUCCUACUCGCACAUAGCUGGGUUCAAAUCAACAUGUAAAGAAGCAUCCAAUGCAUAUCAUGCAUUUUAUCAUAUUGUGAUAACACAUAAACCAUUGUGUAGCACAUUUUCACAAUAUAAAAUCAUUUUACUAAAAGCUUGUUCCCAAGGUACAUUUUUUAAGACAAGUUGGAUAGAAUCUUUCAUAUUCCCCAAAACAAGUUUGAAAUGCAAGUUCACUCAUCGGUAUUAGGAGUAGAAAUACUCCUAUUUUCAGUCCGCGGGUACAGUUCUUUACCCGUAUCCAAUGGCUCACCACCUAGCCAUAAUCCAUGACACAUAUUCCAAUUAAAUUGUGUCGAAUAGUAAUAAGCUAUUUCAGGCUCGAUAUAUAUAUGAUAUGAAAUGAAAAAUGCACGGGUAGCCAUCUAGACCCGAUAUUGGCCUAAGUCGAUUUUUCAUCCGAUAAAUUGGCCAAUGCGUCCAAUUUCACUCCAAAUUAAUCCAUUUCUCCUAUAAUACCUUAAUUUACCAUAUACCAUUUAAAUAAAGCCAAAUUCAGCAUUAGAACCCUCACAGUUCCUUAUAGAAAAAUUCGAUCAUUUGGUGCACUAGCACCAAAAAUUUUUCUACAUAACCGUUUCACCUUAAUUCAUCAUUUUCCAAGCCAUUUUCCUUGAAAUAAAAACAAUCCCCCAUUGAUAUUCAGCCCUCAUGGUUCGGCCAACAAGGAACCCUAGAGAAAUUGAAUAUUUCUUUUGUGUUUUUGUUCAUAACCAUGCUUAACUAUCCCUAAACACUAACAUAGUCUAAAAUCAAAUUAUUCCAACAACAAUUCCUCUUCCAUACCCAUUUUUCAGAAUUGAAUUCAUCAUGAUAACUCAAUAUUCAACCAUGGAAAUCAAGAACAAAAGAAUGGGUAAGCUAGGUAUCAAGGAGAAUUAAAGAAAUUUUAACUUACCUAGCUUGUUUCCUUGA